Long non-coding RNA from Schistocerca piceifrons (Central American locust), 380 nucleotides. RefSeq lists it as uncharacterized. The transcript is spliced from 3 exons. The record is from RefSeq and is a predicted model, not a curated record. NCBI's taxonomy places the organism in Eukaryota, Metazoa, Arthropoda, Insecta, Orthoptera, Acrididae.
CAUUACUCGACCAAUUUUAUCAGAUCUCAACUGCGAAUGGAAGAGGAAUUUUGUCUGUGAACGUGGUUGUGCUCAGUUGAAGGAUGGUGAACGACAAUACUGGGAUCCUCCUUUGUGUUCUCAGACUUUCAGUGAAAUUGGAGAUGAAUGUAGCCUUAUUUGCAAAGAUGGAUAUGAACUUAGUGGAAGUGCUACAAUCACAUGCACUCUUGAUGGUUGGAAUGGCACUGCUGGUUUGAAUAAAAUACCUGAAUGCAAAAGUUGUGCUCUAUUGAAGGAUGGUAAAGGACAAUACUGGGACCCUCCACUGUGUUCUCAGACACACAGUGAAAUAGGAGAUGAAUGUAGCCUUGUUUGCAAAGAUGGAUAUGAACUUAGUG